Molecule: ribosomal RNA, 452 nt
Filed under: uncultured bacterium
Lineage: Bacteria
Description: bacterial SSU rRNA
Rfam family: Bacterial small subunit ribosomal RNA
Source: RNAcentral
GAGUUCGAUUAUGGCUCAGGAUGAACGCUGGCGGCGUGCUUAACACAUGCAAGUCGAACGAACCUUCGGGUUAGUGGCGGACGGGUGAGUAACGCGUGGGAAUCUGCCCUCAGGAGGGGGAUAACGGCCGGAAACGGCCGCUAAUACCCCAUAUGCCGAGAGGUGAAAUGAAUUUCGCCUGAGGAUGAGCCCGCGUCUGAUUAGCUAGUUGGUGAGGUAAGAGCUCACCAAGGCAUCGAUCAGUAGCUGGUCUGAGAGGAUGAUCAGCCACACUGGGACUGAGACACGGCCCAGACUCCUACGGGAGGCAGCAGUGGGGAAUUUUCCGCAAUGGGCGAAAGCCUGACGGAGCAACGCCGCGUGAGGGAUGAAGGCCUCUGGGCUGUAAACCUCUUUUAUCAAGGAAGAAGAUCUGACGGUACUUGAUGAAUAAGCCACGGCUAAUUCCGUGC